UAUAUGUCAAGGAGUCAGUGGGAGUCUUAAUGGUCUUGAAAGGUUUCAAGAACAAAUCAAAUAAACCUUAUCGAUCAUCACUAGCACACGAGUUGAGGUUUAUAACCUAUUGUGUUGACAUUAUUUUGUUUCUGUGCCAUCCCACUUGAGUUAAUUAUACAUGUGAGUUCUAUGAGUUCUCAUUUUGAAUGCAUAAAAGGCAAGGACCUUGAUCAAUGGAAAGUACAUUGAUAAGAAAAGGUGAGCUGCUUAACUACUUGGAAGACAUAGUGGGCAGCUGUGCUACCAUAANAAAGGUACAAAGUGUGUUCUUAAAAUUUCGAUUAUGAUUACGGCAUCCCUCUUCACAAUUCGAAUUUUGAGAACAUAGCAAAUAAAACAUUAUGCGUCGUGUCCCAUACGCUUCGGGUAUAGGAUCGAUUGCAAAUGCUUUAAUGUUUGACCAUUCUAAAAUUUUCCAAAUGUCGAGCGCAUUUAGAGGGAAAAGGGACUAGAAUUGGUUUUGACUAAAACAAUUAAACAACUAUCAAAGGACAACCCAAAGUUCGACGAGGAUUGGUCGCUUGUGAGUAGUUGGAAGUAUAGUAUUGGAAAAUAUGGAAAUGUUUCCAUAUUGGAUGGACCAUAUCGACUCUAUUAUGAAUAGAAAAGAUUCUAUUAAGAAUGAGUUGUCAUAUGGAACAUAUGGAAGUGUGUCCAUAUUGGGAAUUGAAUAUUGAGAAAUCUAUGACUAGAUUAGAAACUUCUAUGCAAAAGGAUGUUCAAAGGAAUGUACUUUGAGUGAGAGACAUCACGACUAUGGAAUUGUCUUGUAACAAUCUCCGAUAGAGGACUUUGUAAUAUCAUUGGCAAUAGUCUUUGUGACUUUUGUGCAGUGACAUUACGAAAGGACAAUUACAUAAAAUGUUAGAAUCUAGCAUAUUUUAUAAGUAGCAAGAAUUUGAUAUUCUUUCACUUAUGAAAAAGGAUUUGGAGUUGUGAAAUGAGAAUGAUUGGAAAUGUGCUCAAUUAUGUCCAUUUCACAAAGUAAGAACCAUACGUAAACAUUGUGUGCAUGCUACGAGCAUGGGACAAGUAUAAUAAUUCAAGAAAGAAGUUGAUUACCCGAAACGACAAAUAAUGAGUAAUCAAUAUGGUGAUAAAUAAAAGGCAUUUUAUUUAUACUCAAAGGUUGAUACCAUAUGGGAUUAGUAUUAUUCUUGUGUUUCACAUUUGAAUGUUUUGACUUCCAGAAUAAUUGAGUUUAUUAAGAAUAAUCGAAUUAUUCGAACGGGCCACAGUCGUUCAUAUGUUGGAAGUAGGUAUGAAUGAAGACUAUCAUGAAUUGGUGUGUGGAUUGUCUAAAAGAGUAUUAGACAUAAGCAAAUGUUUGCUGCAACGUUCGUGAGUGCUUAUGAAUAUGAUUUGAGCAUUGGAUUAAACCCACGCUCACUUGGAUCACUCCAUGAAUUGUAUCACGAGUGAUUGGUGAGACGAUAACAUCUUAUAUUCUUGAAACCGAGAUGUGUGAGUUGUAUCUUGCAAAUCGGUUGCACAUUGAUAAUAUGUAAACGCACUAGUAACUUGGUGUUAUAAAACAUAUUGUUGUGUGUAAUUCGGUAAGUGAGUGCAAGCAAGCAUUGUAUCAAAGUUUAUCCGUUCCUUUUAUCCAAAGUAGGAUAAAAGCGAUAUCUUUGGGCCCCUCGAUGAUUUAGUGAUGACAAACGUAAAUGCUCGGCCGGGCUAGGGCUAAUUUGAUUUGUUCAAUUAGUCAGUCGUCAUAAAUUGGGAAUCGAGAUAUAGUACAAAGAGAAUGAUUUGAAAUCAUAUCUCAUAUGAUAUCUAGAAUGGAGGAAUAUAUGAUCCCUUAUCUAAGGACACGCGUAUCUGAUAUGAUCAGAGUUGACAGCGGCUUUGGAAAGCUACGAUUGCAGAUCAGGAUCUGAAGUCAUACGCAGAAUAGUUAUUAGACUUAUCCAAGUGGGAGACUGUUGGAUUAGUGUCUAAGUCCAUAACUAUUUUGGUAUGUACUUGACCCGAUGGUGCAUGGUCCUUUUGGGUUGCCUUCACCAAAGCAACUUGAUUGGAGAAAUAAAUAGAGAGAGAGGUUAUUAUGAUUUAUUAAUAUGUUAUAAGAAUAAUAUAUUAAAGGAGAAAUCAUAUUUGUUUAAUUAAUAUUGGUCAAUAAUUAAUUAAGAAUUAAUUUUGUGAUCAAAUGUAAUUAAUUAAACUAGAGGGGCUGAAUUGUAAUUAUGUGAUAGUUACAAAAUAGGGUAAGGAUUAUCCUAAGGAUAGGUUGAACGAAUUUAAGGUGAUAAGACCUUAGAAUUCGUCCAUGAUAAGGAUUCAAGGCUUAUCUUAUGGGUUGCUUGGUGGGCAAGCAACUAGAUAAGGAUAAGGACUAAAACCCUAUCUCUACACCUAUAUAAACACCCUUUUGGCUCAUAAUUUGUCCAGACCUUCCCAAAGCAUCUUAGGGACGAAUUCUUAUACCUCUCCUCUCUCUUUAUACCUUCUCCAUUUGCUCUUGGUGUUUGUAAGCCAUUAGAGGAGUGACACUUGUGACUCUAAGCCUUCCAAAGUCAAUACAAGGAGAUUUGGGAUUGUUAUUGCUACAUAACAAUCAAGGUAAUAUUAUAAACCUAUUCUUAUGUUAAUAUGAUUACUUAUAUGCUAGAAUUAGGGUUUUGUUAUGUGUUCAUAAUGUUGUGUAUCUAAUAGUGAAAACAUAGAUCCAAUGCUAGGGUUGCAUGUACACAUAGGAUUGUUUGUAUAAAACCCAUCAAGAAUCCCCAAACCCUUAACUACCUUGACACAGAAAGACUUAAACAUGAGGCAGCGGCGAUGGGUAGAGAUGCUCAAUGUUUAUGAGUGUGAAAUCCGCUACCAUCCCGGCAAGGCCAAUGUGGUGGAAGAUGCCUUGAGCCGAAAGGAGAGUUCAAGCUGCAAGGCAAAGACAUUGUCGAUGACUAUCCUGUUGGAUUAGUGUCUAAGUCCAUAACUAUUUUCGUAUGUACUUGACCCGAUGGUGCAUGGUCCUUUUGGGUUGCCUUCACCAAAGCAACUUGAUUGGAGAAAUAAAUAAAGAGAGAGAGGUUAUUAUGAUUUAUUAAUAUGUUAUAAGAGUAAUAUAUUAAAGGAGAAAUCAUAUUUGUUUAAUUAAUAUUGGUCAAUAAUUAAUUAAGAAUUAAUUUUGUGAUCAAGUGUAAUUAAUUAAACUAGAGGGGCUGAAUUGUAAUUAUGUGAUAGUUACAAAAUAAGGUAAGGAUUAUCUUAUAUAUAUGGUGAACGAAUUUGAGGUGUAAAUCCCUUAGAAUUCGAGUAUGAUAAGGAUUCAAGGAUUAUCUUAUUGGUUGCUUGGUGGAUAAGCAACUAGAUAAGGAUAAUGACUGAAACCCUAUCUCUACACCUAUAUAAACACCCCUAGGGUCAUGAAUUCGUGUAUCCCUUCCCAAGAAGUCUUAGAGACGAAUUCUAACCUCCCUCCUCUCUCUUUAUACCUUCUCCACUUGCUUAUGGUGUUUGUAAGCCAUUAGAGGAGUGACACUUGUGACUCUCAGCUUUCCAAGGUCAAUUCAAGGAGGAAUUGGAUUGUUAUUGCUAUAUAACAAUCAAGGUAUGUUCUUAAACCUAAUUACAUGUGAAUUCUGAUUUCCAUAUGCUAGAAUUAGGGUUUAUAGUCUUGGAUUCAAAGUAUGUACAAUAGAGAAACCUAGAUCCAAGCUUUAGGGUUUGUAUGAGCACAUAGGAUGUCUUAUGACCAAAACCCAUCAGUGGUAUCAGAGCCAUGAUUGGUUUCUAUUGUAUUGAUGCUUGAUGUAACUGAAAAUCGUGUUUUGGCCUCACUGUUCGACCUGACUCGGCGAGUCACUCUUGGACUCGGCGAGUCAGCCCUACUCGGCGAGUUCCAGAGGGUGACUCGGCGAGUCGGUGCGUCAGACAGUGCUUAUCUCGGGAUUUCUUGCUGUUUUUGCAUUGGGAUAAUUACCUUAUCAUGUUAGAUUAAUAUUAAUCCGAUUAUAUGAUAUAUUUGACUAUAUUUUUAAUCUAAUUGAAGAUAUUUAUCAAUUAAUAAGAUAAUUGUUUCCUUAUAAGAUAAUUGAUUAAUUAUUUUAAGUAAAUUGAUAAAUUAUUUUGCAAGAAAUCAUCAAAUAUGGAUAAUUAUGUGAUUAAAUGUUAAUUUGAAUUAUUUGUUAUUUGAUCCUUGUUGUUGUGAAAAGUUUCAUAUUUGGCCCUUUAGGUUUUAUAGUUUAAAUUUGAACCCCAAAAGUUUUGUUGUUUUGAAAUUUAAAUAGUUGAAACCCUAAUGUUUUGAAAAAGGUUUCAAAACUUGCCCUCAAGUUUUGGAAUUUAAAUUUUGAUUAAAUAGUUUAAUUUUGAUGCAUAUUUAAAUUCUAAACCCUAAUGUGUUGAAAUGUUUCAAAACUUGCCCUCAAGUUUUGGAAUUUAAAAGUUGAUUAAAAGUUUAAUUAGGAAUGUUAAAUUCUAAAACUCUAGUAUAGUUUUGAAAAAGUUCAAAUCACACCCUUAUGGUUUUAUUAAUUAAUUAAGGUGUAUAAUUAAAAGAGGUUUAAUAAAUCCAUAAAAGUUUAGGUUUACAAUUUAAUUGAAUUAAAAGUAUAAUUGUUAAAUUAGACCACCUAGUAUUUUAAAAGUAUAAAAUACACCCUAUACUAUAUAUAACAUUAAAAGUCUAACAUUAUAUAUAUGUAUGAGUAAAAGUCAGUCUUACCGUUAGUAGGCCUCAUUCACGAAGCUGGUCUAUAAGGGGUGUUUAAGGAAAUUGCCUAUAAAAUGGCGAUUGAAUGGGUAUCCACUCUUACCCACCGCACUCUUGACUAGUGGAGGGUCGUUAGCCGAACGGGUAGGAUAGGACGAAACCUUCCAUUAUAAGUAUAAUGAAUUAUUAAAGUAACUAAAUGUUUUCAUAAAAUUCCCAAUCUUAGUUACUUAGGCAAAAGUGAAUUGAUGCAAUUCCAUGAAAUUACACUUUGUGCCCUUGCGAAGACGUUAGUGGAGCGUGUGUGGUUAACCGGCACACUAAAUGGUUCUAAGCAAAGGUAGCAAAGGGUGACUCAAUGUUUGUCAUAGUUCGGUGGAGCGUGUGUGGUUUACCGGCACAUCGAAUAGGUGACUGUAACAUGUGAGGGCACCAUGUAAGUUUGCAUGGUUAUUCACACCCGCUUUGUGAUCCUCGGCAUCCCAGUCACAAACAAGAGGGGCAUAUCGAGAUUUAAACAUGCCAUUGAAAGUUCAAUGAAUCUCAAAGGAUCUAGGAGUUUUCAUAGAUUUAAAACUUAAAUUUCUUUUUCGUUUUUCAUGGUGGAAAUUAGUGAAUCGUCAUUCACUUACCUUCAAAUAUUCUGCAAUUAGGGUUACGGCAUCCCUCUCCCGAGUUGUAGAAUAUUGUGUUGGGUCCUAGCCUUAGUAUCUCAUUUGGGUGAUUUACUAAGGACUCAAUCAAUCAACUAACUUGAAUUCGUUUUCUCCCGUUUUGUAGAUGUCAAAGUUCGACAACUAUGGUCUUCCCAAAUCCCGUGGAACAAGCAUUCCACAUGAAGAUGAUAUUCCACGAUUCGAUCGAGGAACAAGAAAUCAUGCUUCACUUCCUCCUCCUCCUCCAAUUAUUCUCCCUAACCCACAAGUUCAAAGGCUUGAAAAGUUCAAGAUCACUCAAGCCCUUUUGGCAAGUAAACAUAAAGAAGGAAAGUCGGUGUGUGCACACGUCCUAGGGAUGAAGUCACACAUUGAUAGGUUAAGAAUGUUGGGAUCCGUUGUCUGUGAGGAAAUGGCUGUUGAUUGGGUUCUUCAGUCACUUCCUAACUCAUAUAGUGAGUUCGUAAGAGAGUACUAUAUGAUGAACCGCGACGUGACCCUUAUAGAUCUCACCUAUAUGCUUAUUGCUGCUGAAUCAGCAAUGGUUUGGCGCAAUAGAAAAGCAAAGUUGAUUGGUGAAUCUGCCUUCAAGACCUCUAUGGAUAUAGACAAUGGCAACGAAAGACAUGCUAUGAUCGAAAAGUUUGAUCAUAAGAGAAAGGCAAUGUCUGAAGUAGUUCCAUGUCAUGUUCCAAAAGAGUCAAUUUGCUUUUAUUGCCAAGAGAAAGGGCAUUGGAGACGAAGCUGCCCCAUUUACCUAAGAGAUCUAAGAGAUGGGAGAGUCGAAACGUAUGGCUCUAAUAUAGGUAAAAUCCAUUAACUAACUCUUUUAAGCUUCUAUUCUAGAUUCUUAAUACAUAAUGUGAUAAGAUUACAAUUGAUGUUUUGUAGGAUCGAAGAAAAGAAAGGAAGCUUAAGGGAAGAAGUGAGCAGAAUCUAACCGUGAAGGAAUGGAUUUCGAUCGCAUUUCUCGAAGAUUAGAUUCUUGAGCUACUACUUAGAGUUAGAAUUAGAUUGCUAAGAAAGAUGUAUUAGCAUAGUUUUUCAAUGAAUUGCAUUGUAAGGACAAAUUUUUUCCGCAAUAAAAUAAAUUUUGAUUUUAUAUUAUUUAUUUAUCCUUGCAAUGGCGUAUAUGAAAAAUUGAUGUUUGAAUGUUUCUAUUAUUAGCAAUAAUGGAUUUGGUUCUUAUUAUGUUAUUUAUGGAAAGUCGAGAGUUUACCAAAUAGGGAGAGUUUCUCAUCGCCCAAGUUUCAAUUGGACAGAAACUUGGAAUCAUGCAACUUGGUUGCACGAUGAAUGAGAAAUUUCAUAUUUGGAAAUUAGACUAAUUCAUUGACAAAGUGUCAAGUGAAGGACUAGGAGAUCGAGUACACAAAGUUGCGUGUUGAUCAAGUCCACCAUAAGAGUAACAAAGAUAUUCGUCAUGAUUUACUAAAGGUUUAGUAAAUAUGAUUAUACUUAUAAGAUUAAGUGUAAUUCUGAAUUGAUUGAAAAAGUUUAAAUCAAUAGCAGAACGAAUAAGAAGAAUCAAGUAGGCAGAAAGAUAAAAGUUUCUCCAUUCUAAGAAGAAGGGAGAGUACCUUUUAUGCUUUAUGAUAGGUCUUAAUGAUUAAGAACCAUAUCUCAAUUGAUCCUCUAAGUGAGUCUUAGUACAAUUGUAUGUCUAAGAAGAGGAAUCAAGAAUUGAAGAAAUGGUUAAAUCAAGAAGUCAAUCAUACUUCGUUCCAAAACAAGUCUUAGAGUUAAGAUUGUGACAUUGAGUGAUAAGUAUUAAGAAGGUUUAUAACAUUCAUCAAAUGUGGAAAGUUGUGAUGUCUUGGAUAAGACAAAGACCAACUAGGACCAAUUUAUGAAGUGUUUUGAUAAAAACUACACUAACUCUUGAAUAUUUGUUUGUCAAGAAAUGUUUAUUGACAAGAGAAUCUUAUAUGUCAAGGAGUCAGUGGGAGUCUUAAUGGUCUUGAAAGGUUUCAAGAACAAAUCAAAUAAACCUUAUCGAUCAUCACUAGCACACGAGUUGAGGUUUACAACCUAUCGUGUUGACAUUAUUUUGUUUCUGUGCCAAUCCAAUCGAGUUAAUUAUGCAUGUGAGUUCUAUGAGUUCUCAUUUUGAACGCAUAAAAGGCAAAGCACCUUAAUCAAUGAAAGGUACAUUGAUAGGAAAGGGUGAGCUGCUUAACUACUUGGAAGACAUGGUGGGCAGCUGUGCUACCAUAAGGCAAGAAAUCAAGAUUAAGAAAGUUCGGUCCAUAUGAGUUUGAAUUUGUCGUAAACUUUGGUUUUAACAAAUUCACAUGGAUAGGAACACAUACACCGUUUAAAUCUAAGUGUCAUAAGAUUUCCUCCUUCAUGAAAAUGAUUGUGAGGAAAUGCUUUCACUAAGAAAGAUUUUAAGAAGAUAGUGAUUGUAAAAUUGCAUUCUCGAAUUCGAUUAUGGUUACGGUAUCCCUUUCCAUAAUUUGAAUUGUGAGGUUUGGCAAUUAGUCUUAAUUGUUUAGACACACAUAUGAACUAUCGAAGGCAAAGGUGUAUAAGUUCAAGAAGCCUUGAUAAAAGAUUAUCAAAGCACUAAGUAUUAGAAACAUGAACUUAAGAAAUUCAAUAAGUAUUGUUUUUCUGAAAGUUAAGAUGUUUAUGAAUACAUGUCGAAGCUAGUGGGAGCAUAAGUGUUAUGUUUUAUAAUAAUCAUCAUGAUAGUGGGAGCAUAAAUGUUAUGAUUGUAUGAUUAUUAAGGAAAGUAUUGCAAGUUGGCAAUAUUAAUUAUAGAAAACAAGAGUCAUACUUUGCAAAGUUGUAAGGGUUGAAAGGUUGUUUUGCUAUAAUUAAGGGAGAGAAUAUUAUGCUUCAUUUCAAAUCUAAAGGAUUAGGUUGAGAAAUGUUAAUAAAUUUAGUCAAAGGUACAUAGUGUGUUCUUAAAAUUUCGAUUAUGAUUACGGCAUCCCUCUUCACAAUUCGAAUUUUGAGAACAUAGCAAAUAAAACAUUAUGCGUCGUGUCCCAUACGCUUCGGGUAUAGGAUCGAUUGCAAAUGCUUUAAUGUUUGACCAUUCUAAAAUUUUCCAAAUGUCGAGCGCAUUUAGAGGGAAAAGGGACUAGAAUUGGUUUUGACUAAAAUAAUUAAACAACUAUCAAAGGACAAUCCAAGUUCGACGAGGAUUGGUCGCUUGUGAGUAGUUGGAAGUAUAGUAUUGGAAAAUAUGGAAAUGUUUCCAUAUUGGAUGGACCAUAUCGACAUCAUUACGAAUAGAUAAGAUUCUAUUAAGAAUGAGUUGUCAUAUGGAACAUAUGGAAGUGUGUCCAUAUUGGGAAUUGAAUAUUGAGAAAUCUAUGACUAGAUUAGAAACUUCUAUGCAAAAGGAUGUUCAAAGAAUGUACUUUGAGUGAGAGACAUCACGUCUAUGGAAUUGUCUUGUAACAAUCUCCGAUAGAGGACUUUGUAAUAUCAUUGGCAAUAGUCUUUGUGACUUUGGUGCAGUGACAUUACGAAAGGAUAGUUGCAUAGAAUGUUAGAAUCUAGCAUAUUCUAUAAGUAGCAAGAAUUUGAUAUUCUUUGACUUAUGAAAAACGGAUUUGGAGUUGUGAAAUGAGAAGGAUUGGAAAUGUGUUCAAUGUGAUCUAUUUCACAAAGUAAGAACCAUAGGUAAACAUUGUGUGCAUGCUAGGAGCAUGGGACAAGUGUUGGAAUUCAAGUAAGAAGUUGAUUACCCGAAACGACAAAUAAUGAGUAAUCAAUAUGGUGAUAAAUAAAAGGUGUUUUAUUUAUACUCAAAGGUUUGAGGCCAUAUGGGAUUAGUAUUAUUCUUGUGUUUCACAUUUGCAUGUUUUGACUUCCAGAAUAAUUGAGUUUAUUAAGAAUAAUCG
RNAcentral lists this long non-coding RNA (9215 nucleotides) under Lactuca sativa (garden lettuce). RNAcentral's name for it is "long non-coding RNA (LSAT_LNC008993)". The record is from RNAcentral. Lineage: Eukaryota; Viridiplantae; Streptophyta; Magnoliopsida; Asterales; Asteraceae.